Molecule: non-coding RNA, 30 nt
Filed under: Mus musculus (house mouse)
Lineage: Eukaryota; Metazoa; Chordata; Mammalia; Rodentia; Muridae
Source: RNAcentral
UACAGUUGCCUUUUUUUGUCUCUCCCUGGU